Molecule: long non-coding RNA, 36924 nt
Filed under: Sorghum bicolor (sorghum)
Lineage: Eukaryota; Viridiplantae; Streptophyta; Magnoliopsida; Poales; Poaceae
Description: long non-coding RNA (SBIC_LNC010733)
Source: RNAcentral
GGAAACUCCAAAGUUUUGAUCUACUGCCUGAAGAAGAGUAUGGAGGUAAGACAGUGCUGCAUUCUCCAUUUUUAAAUUUACUAAUCCUACAUUCUCCUUAUUUUUUUGAAUCUUUCAAAAUGAGAACAUUGACAAGAAUUAUGUAGUCACCUUAAUUUUUGAACACUAUUAUAGGCACAUAUAGCUCAGCUCAACUGCAGGUAUACGUCAUAUAGAUAACUAUUGCUGAAACUAUGUACUUAUUUAUCUAAUUUAAUUCGAACAUCCUUUUUGCCAGAUAUCCUUUGUCGCUCACUAGUACAUUGGUGUCGAGGGUAUCAACAAGGGGUACCCUCACCGAUGCGUAUAACGAGACCAUCCGUACAUAAAACUAGUUCCUCGAUUCGACGCUCCGUCUGCACGUACGCGCGGCCAUCGACGGCCGUAGCCUCGAAGACGGAAAUAGCGUCGAGCGAAUCAAUCGGGCGUCGAGCUCUGGUUACCGUCGAAUACGGAACAGGCUCAUGCGAAUCGGGAGGCGUCGAGCGCAAGGACGCCGCCGCCGCCGCCUGACACGCGCAUGCGAGCCGGGGCAUUAAAUGCGCCUGGUGCUCCCCCACCUAACACAUGGGUCACGGGAGGCGUGAUAGGGAACACGCAUCCGUCCCAUCGAUCUUUUUGCAGCCUUCCCCACCAAACGGCGCAGGGCGUGUCAGGACGUGGGAAACAGAGAGGGCGCGUCUAAUCAAGACCCCCUCGAGGUAGCCAAGGUCAGCGCUUCAACAUCAGGACGCCGUACGACAUCCGACCCUCGACCAGACAAGGAUCCUUCCAGGGGACGAGUCGGGUGUCGACUGACUACAUCCCAACCACUCCACCGGAUUUGCCGCCAAAACGUACAAGCAUACAUCCGUCGAACCAAUCCAAGACGGCGCGCAGAGCAGAAUGCAGGGGCACGCGUAAUCAUCACCAGGCUAUUAGGACGGGACGGCUCGAGGCCAUGCCGGUACGGAAGCCUCGAGUAGGUCAGCGCACCAUACUGCUAUCGACUCCUAUUCUGACGCCUAUAUGUGUACCCUGGAUCUCUCCUUGGAACUAUAAAAGGAGGGACUCAGGAAUAGAAGAGGACACCACGCUCACACGUAGUAGAGCUCCACACUUCAUACCGCACUUGUAUUCACCCCUGUACAAGCACUUAGGUGCAAGAUAAUACAAACUCUCUCCCCCCCCGCUGGACGUAGGGCCUUCUCUUGCCCGAACCAGGAUAAAUCUUUGUGUCUUCUUGCAUCACCAUCUGGGAAAGGGAGCACUCAUACAAAUUUACUCGUUGGUGUGACCCCCCGAGGGGAAAACACCGACAGUUGGCGCGCCAGGUAGGGGUCCUGCGUGUUUUUCAUCGAUUUCCCACUCCUUUCCGGAUGGCCACUCUUGUCUCGCCGUUUCCGCGCUCCACGGUGAUUUGGUUUGGGAGUCUCGAGUUCAUGUCUACGGGCUCCGGCUACGACAUGAUCUUACUCUCAGUCAAAGGACCAGGAGGAGCCCGCGUUACGCCAGCACGGUUGAAGGCCCCGAGACGAUCUCACCACCACGCCUCCCCGCCUAAGAAGAGGCGCGGACAGCACCACCGCGGCCCCUCUGCUUCAGCACGACCAACAACUCGUGCGAGGCAGGACGUGGGCCACAAGUCGGCAGCACCGUGUGGCGGAGUAACAAGCGCGACGACUCAGCACCGCGCAACGACGGGAGGAGACGCGUCUCGCGCGCUCUCCCCCACCGCUGCUAGGCUACUUCCACACGGGUUGUUCACUCCAAGAGCGGCACUGCCGUUCGGAUUGGACAACGCCGCGGCGUCGCUCGCCAGGGCGAUAUGCCCAAGCGCCCAGACGUACGUAGAAAGACCAAUGGUCCUCCCACGUGGCUCUGAAGCGCGACGGCCGGCGUCCGAGCUGCCGGACCUUUCCCGGGUACGAGGCCUCCGUCGUCUAGGCCCCAGACGAUACACGAUCACCUCCCUCAGGCAGCGAUUGCUAGAGGAGGGACGUGGGUGUUUCCACGCCGCCAAACCAGACUCCGACUCCGAGACUGAUAGCUAUGACCUAACGAGGGAAUGCUAUCACAUCGACGGGGCGGUAGAAACUACCGACGAGACACGGGAUGCUGCUGCGGGCGGUCGAGCCCCAGCGGCACGAGAAGCCCCCAGGACGCCUGGGAACGACGGACAGGUCGACCCCCCCCCCCACAGGAAGACAGAACCGCGCAGCUCGCGCAGCUGCGGGAGCUCAAGAUGAAGCUCGACGAAGACCGCGAGCGCCUCGUCCUGCUCGAGCAAAUCCUCGAGCAAGACCUACCCUACCCGCCGGGCAGAAGUGUCCGCAGACGCGCUCGAGAGGUACAUCGUCAGAUCGUCGGCGACGCAGAGCCAGAGCAACCUGUCAGCCGUUUCCCUCGAGCAGGCCAGAAUGUAGUGGCAGCGACGAUGUUGCUGCGUAACAUGCCAGAGCCGUCGAAUUCCCAGGCCUGACGCAUUUGAGAUGAGGUACAGACAUUGCUCCAGGUGGCGGCGCUUCAACAAGCCGAAAGUUCGGAAUCUCGACGACGAGGAGCUGCCACAGAGAAGCGCGACGAACAGCCUCAAAACGAAAAGGAGGUGUCAGUCCAUCAACAACCUCCCCCUCGAGGCAGAAAGACCGCUCUCAUCCUCCCCGUCGACAAUCAGCGUCGACACGAUGCGCGGCACGACAUCGAAGAAAAUCGACGCCGCCGGCACGGAGACGCGGAAGAGCGCGGUUACAGCGCGCAUCGCGGCGGGAGAUACGACAGCGACGAGGACCGGGUGGCCCCCGAGCCACCGGGCCCACGGGUGUUCAGCAGGGCGAUCCGCAGCACGCCCCUGCCCAAUCCAUUUCGACCCCCGACCAGCAUCGCGAAGUACAAUGGAGAGACCAAGCCAGAGUUAUGGCUGGCCGAUUUCAGGCUGGCCUGUCAGCUAGGUGGCGCUCGAGGUGAUGAUCGAGCCAUCAUCAGACAGCUACCCCUUUUCCUCUCCGACACCACCCGUCGAUGGCUCGAGGAACUCCCUGCCGAUCAGAUCCACAACUAGGUUGAUCUGGUCAGAGUCUUCGAGGGUAACUUCAAAGGGACCUACAUACAGCCAGGGAACUCGUGGGACCUUAGCAAAUGCAAGCAGAAGUCAGGAGAAACUCUUUGGGAGUAUGCUCGACGCUUCUCGAAGCAGCGCACUGAGCUGCCGCACAUCCCUGACCACGACGUCAUCUUGGCGUUUGUCUCGGGCACCACCAGUCGAGACUUGGUGCGGGAAUUAGGUCGCAAUCGACCUCAGACCGUCGACGAGCUGAUGGACGUAGUAGCCAACUACGCGGCAGGGGAGGAGGCAGUCGGCGCCUUCUUCAGCUCAGAAGGAAGAAAAGGCAAGCAGCCCAUCGAUGAAGAUGGGACCCCCAGUCGAGGCCUCAAGAAAAAUAAAAAGAAGCAGAAAGUGUGGCAGUUCCACCAGGAGGAUUCCGAUGACAACCUUGUCGCCGCCAUGGAUCGAAAGAAACCUCGAGGCCCUCCGGAUGGAGGCAUCUUUGACAAGAUGUUGGAGGAGCCGUGCCCUUACCAUAAGGGAGGCGCCAACCAUAAGCUCAAGGACUGUCGUAUGCUGAGAAAGCAUUUCGACGGUCUGGGGUUCAAAAAAGAUGCGCGUGACGACUCCAAGAAAGAGAAGGGUGGCAGCAAGGAGGACAACAAAGAUGACGACGGCUUCCCCGCCGUCCACGAUUGCUACAUGAUCUAUGGCGGGCCCUCGACUCAAUUGACCACGAGGCAGCGCAAAAGGGAGCGUCGCAAAGUCUUUGCAGCAAGAAUGGCGGUGCCCCAAUACCUUAGCUGGUCAAGCACUCCUAUCACUUUCAACCGAGAAGACCACCCCGACAAGGUAGUCGCCCCAGGUGUCUACCCGCUCGUCGUCGACCCCAUCAUCGUCAACACCCGGCUCUCGAAAGUGCUGAUGGAUGGCGGCAGCAGCCUCAACAUCAUCUACCUCAAGACCCUCGACCUCCUCGGCAUAGAUAGAGGGAAGCUCCAACCAAGUGCCGGCGGUUUCCAUAGCGUCGUGCCAGGAAAAAAGGCGCUGCCAGUAGGUCGAAUUGACUUACCCGUCUGCUUCGGCACGGCGGCCAACUUCAGGAAGGAGACCCUCACCUUUGAGGUAGUUGGGUUCCGAGGCACAUACCACGCCAUCAUCGGGCGCCCGGGCUACGCCAAGUUCAUGGCUAUACCCAACUACACCUACUUGAAGCUGAAGAUGCCCGGUCCCAAAGGCGUCAUCACUGUCAGUUCCUCCUUCGAGCACGCGUACGAGUGCGACGUCGAGUGCGUCGAGUACGGGGAGGCGGUCGAGAGCUCCACCGAGCUCGUCGCGAAGCUCGAAGCCCUGGCCGCUGAGGCUCCGGAGCCUAAGCGCCACGCGGGCAGCUUCGAGGCGGCGGAAGGAACCAAGAAGAUCCCGCUCGACCCCAACAACUCCGACGGCAAAGUGCUGACGAUCAGCACCGACCUCGACCCCAAAUAGGAAGCUGUGCUCGUCGACUUUCUCCGUGCAAAUGCCGACAUGUUUGCAUGGAGUCCCUCGGACAUGCCAGGCAUACCGAGGGAAGUCGCCGAGCACUCCUUGGAGAUUCGAGCCGGUUCCAAGCCAGUGAAGCAGCGGUUGCACCGAUUCGAUGAGGAGAAGCGCAAGAUCAUUGGCGAGGAAAUCCACAAGCUUUUGACGGCCGGAUUCAUCAAGGAGGUUCAUCAUCCCGACUGGUUAGCAAACCCUGUAUUAGUUAAGAAAAAGAAUGGGAAAAUGAGGAUGUGUGUCGAUUAUACUAGUCUGAAUAAAGCAUGUCCAAAAGUUCCUUUUCCAUUGCCACGUAUUGAUCAGAUUGUCGAUUCUACCGCGGGAUGUGAAACCCUUUCUUUCCUCGAUGCAUAUUCUGGUUACCACCAAAUAAAAAUGAAGGAGUCCGACCAGCUCGCGACCUCUUUCAUCACACCUUUUGGGAUGUAUUGCUACGUGACCAUUCCAUUUGGGCUUCGAAAGGCGGGAGCCACGUACCAACGUUGCAUGCUCCACGUAUUUGGCGAACAUAUAGGGUCAACGGUCGAGGCCUACGUCAAUGACAUUGUCGUCAAGUCAAAGCGACGAGGAGACCUGAUCCAGGACCUCGAGAUUGCCUUUAGCUGUCUACGCGCCAACCGGAUCAAGCUCAAUCCCGAGAAGUGCGUUUUCGGUGUGCCUCGAGGCAUGCUCCUAGCCUACAUCGUUUCGCAGCGCGGCAUCGAGGCCAACCCCGAGAAAGUCUCGGCCAUCACGAGAAUGGGGCCGAUCCGAGACAUCAAGGGUGUGCAGAGAGUCACGGGAUGCCUGGCGGCUCUGAGCCGUUUCAUCUCGAGACUAGGAGAAAAGGCAUUACCAUUAUAUCGACUCCUGAAGAAGGUCGAGCGCUUUUCUUGGACCCCCGAGGCCGAGGAAGCACUCGAAAGGCUGAAGAAGAUGCUGACCUCGGCACCAGUCCUGGUUCCACCUCAACCUGUAGAGCCGCUGCUCCUCUACGUCGCGUCGACGACCCAGGUCGUCAGCGCGGCGGUGGUGGUCGAGAGGCAGGAGGAGGGACAUGCGCUACCAGUUCAGAGGUCAGUAUAUUUCGUCAGCGAGGUGCUUUCGGAGACCAAAGCACGUUAUCCCCAAAUCCAGAAGCUGAUUUAUGCCGUAAUCCUUGCCCGUCGUAAGCUGCAGCACUACUUCCUUGGCCACCCCAUCACGGUGGUCUCGUCUUUUCCUUUAGGCGAAAUAAUCCAGAGCAAAGAGGCCACGGGAAGAAUAGCAAAAUGGUCGGUCGAGCUCAUGAGUGAGACUCUCACUUAUGCGCCUCGCAAGGCCAUCAAAUCGCAGGCCCUGGUAGACUUCGUCGCAGAAUGGACGGACACCCAGCUCCCCCCGACCUAGGUCCAGGCGGAACUAUGGACGAUGUAUUUCGAUGGGUCGCUCAUGAAAACUGGGGCCGGAGCCGGCCUGCUGUUCAUCUCACCCUUGGGCGUCCACAUGAGGUACGUAAUCAGGAUUCAUUUUGCCGCAUCUAACAAUGUCGCAGAAUAUGAGGCCCUCGUCAACGGUCUCAAGAUCGCUAUCGAGUUAGGAGUCCGACGCCUCGACGUCCGAGGUGACUCCCAACUCGUCAUCGACCAAGUAAUGAAAACCUCGAGCUGCCAUGACCCAAAAAUGGAAGCGUACUGCAAAGAAGUCCGUCGACUCGAGGACAGGUUCCACGGUCUCGAGCUUGUCCAUAUCGCUCGACGCUACAAUGAGGCAGCCGACGAACUCGCCAAGAUCGCAUCGACCAGAGGCACGGUGCCGCCUGAUGCAUUCUCAAAAGAUCUUCACGAGCCAUCCGUCGACCUAGGCACGGGGGCUGGCAUCGACGCCACCACCGCCCAACCAACCAAUGCUGUCGAUACGCUCUUGAUGGUGGAAGAGGUGAUGGAGAUAGAACGACGACCAGGUCGACCGUUCGAUUGGCGCACGCCGUUCCUCGACUGCCUCAUCCGCGGCGAGUUGCCAGAAGACCGGUCAGAGGCUCGUCGUAUCGCUCGACGGGCCAAAUCAUAUGUGAUCUAUGGCGAAGACAAUGAGCUAUAUCGACGGAGCCCGACGGGGGUCUUACAACGUUGCAUCACCGUGGAAGAAGGCCGAAAACUCCUCGAUGACCUGCACUCGGGGGCUUGCGGUCACCACGCCGCUCCACGGACCCUUGUAGGGAAUGCUUUUCGACAAGGCUUCUACUGGCCAACGGCCGUGGCGGACGCCAUCGAGCUCGUACGCUCGUGUCAUGGGUGCCAGUUCUACGCCAAGCAGACGCAUCUGCCCACCCACGCUCUUCAGAUGAUACCCAUCACCUGGCCGUUUGCGGUGUGGGGGCUCGAUUUAGUAGGACCUCUACAAAAGGCGAAAGGAGGAUACACCCAUUUGCUGGUGGCCAUUGACAAGUUCUCCAAAUGGAUCGAGGCUCGACCCAUCACCAACAUCCGCUCUGAGCAGGCCGUCCUCUUCUUCACCGACAUCAUCCAUCGGUUUGGGAUCCCCAAUGUCAUCAUCACCGACAACGGCACCCAGUUCACCGGCAAAAAGUUCUUGGACUUCUGCGAUCAGCAUCACAUCCGUGUGAACUGGUCUGCAGUAGCCCACCCUCGAACUAACGGCCAGGUCGAGCGUGCCAACGGCAUUAUUUUGCAAGGACUCAAGCCAAGGAUCUACAAUCGAUUGAAGAAAUUCGGCAAGAAAUGGGUCGAGGAGCUUUCCUCAGUCCUAUGGAGCCUUAGGACAACACCGAGCAGGGCCACAAAAUACACCCCGUUCUUCAUGGUCUACGGCUCUGAGGCUAUCCUCCCCACAGACCUCGAGUAUGGGUCACCUCGACUCAAGGCCUACAACGAGCAAUCGAACAAAGAGACUCAAGAAAACGCGGUCGACCAACUUGAGGAGGCUCGAGACAUGGCCCUCCUCAACUCUGCCAGAUAUCAGCAAAAGCUUCGACGCUACCACGACAAGCAUGUGCGCAAGAGGGACCUCAACGUGGGCGACCUAGUCCUAUGACGCCGGCAAAGCAAUCAAGGACGCCACAAGCUGACUCCGCCUUGGGAAGGCCCGUACGUGGUGGCCGAGGUCCUGAAGCCGGGAACGUACAAGCUGGCGGACGAAAAGGGGGCAAUCUUCACCAACGCAUGGAACAUCGAACAGCUACGUCGAUUCUACCCCUAGAAGUUCUAAACUUAUGUUCCUGCUUACGUUUUGUACCAAGACUUUGUAAACGAACGAAUGAAUAAAUAAAGUCCUUCCCUCGAAGCAAUUCUUUUUUGUGCCGAGAAGAUUCAUAAGUCACGAUCUCGACGUUAAAAGGGGGCGCCGACUAUGACCAAUCAUAGUCAGCACCCCCUCGGGGGCUACCAGGGGGACGACCCCCCCCAAACGUCGAAAAAACCUUGCACGGUUCAAGUAGCUAAGGCACCUUGAGCCCCUCAAAGGCCGAGGGACAACGAGCUGAAGAACUCCUACGCCCCCGGGCUACGGAAACUCUACUCACUUCCUCACCAUUGAAGUGGUCGACGUGGUUUUUCACAAAAGAUCGAGCGAGGGAUACAAACGUAAGCGCAAAGAGAAACAAAAGCAUCGAGCGGAAAGACAAAAUAAGCAUUUAACAAUUACGAAAAAGAUACUAUACCAGUUAGCCACAGAAUUAACGAAGUAUCAUACAAGGGGCCUCAGGCGCCCUGAGCAGGCUCGCAGGCCUCAGUCCGUGGCACGAUCCUCAUCGCCCUCGCCUCCGCCCAAGCUAACCUCAGGAGGGAGCACCUCAGGCUCAAAAAGUUUAGCCAACCUUUCCCCAGGAGCCUCCGCGUCGUCGAUCAAGGCAUGGAGCCUCUCCUCGUUCUCCGCGUCGGUCUUGGAGAUGUCGGUGACAAAGCCAUGAGACACCACCUCCAUGUCGUAGGAGAAGCCCGAACAGACAACCGCCAUCGCCCGCUUCACCCCGAUGUGGAGGGCAUCCCGCACCCGAUUUCGCAGCGUCGCGCCUAUGUAGCACAGCUGGUCGACCAGGGCGUCGCCUCGAGCGUCCUCCCUCGACUCAUCCAUAGGCUCGACCUCCCAAGAGGUCGAGAGAUCACUUAUCGCCGUCCGAACUCGACGGUUCAAAGCAACCUCCGCCUCGAGUUGAGCCUUGGCGUCGCGAGCCUCGGUUUGGACGGCCAAAAGUUCGCCCUUGAGCCCUGCAAAGGCCAAUACAAAGAAAACCUUAGGAAAAACCAAGCACACCUCGGAAAAAGAAGUCUGAUAGAGGAAACAUACCGCGUAUAGUCUCCUCGAGGGUCGUGUUCUCGCCGACCAGCCUGGUGUUGGCCCCCUCGAUCUCUUUGUUGGAGCGUGCCAGCUCGGUGUUGGCAACAUGGAGAUCCUCGAUCGCCUUGCCAGCCUGAACAAUGGCCCCACUCUUCUCCAGCAAUUCUCCCUUCAAACGCUCGACGUCGUUAGAAAGACUGCGGGAUCGAGCCCGCUCCGCCUCGAGAUCUUCAAGGGCCUUCUUCUUGGCUUCCUCUGCGGCGCCCCUGGCGACCUCGCCGUUCACAUGCUCCACCUUCAUCUUACGGAAGGACUCUCGGACAGAGUCCAGGUCAGAUUUAAGGAGGCCCUUCUCCUUGUCCAGAUCCGAGACAACGCUCUUGUAGGACAGGGCCUCCUCCCGGGCUCUGGACGCGGCCUCCUCGACCGUAAGAGCCCGCUCCCGUAGCUGCAUCAUCUCCUCCUCCGCCUUCUUCGAGGCCUCUCGGGCCUCGGCCAAGGCAGCCUCCCUCGCCUUCUUCUCCUCCUCGAGUGCUAUGAGAUCUUUGUAAGCUUUAAGGAGCUUUUCCUGCGACUCGAGGAGUUGAUCCUUGAGGAGGGGGAGCUGCCCCAAACCGCCCCUCGUGGCGUGUAUGAAACUGGACUUGAUGCGGGAGGUCUCUUUCAUAUCCUGCGAAUCAAGGGUCGGGUGGAUUAGAAUACAGAAACCAGAAAGCACCAUGAGGAUUGAAGUUCGAGAAACACUUACGAAAUAAGCCGGGCCGAGCCCGUUGUUGAUAACGUCCGAGAGGAGCCCCACCACAUGCUUCAUCCAAAGGCAGAGCUCCUCAACGUGUUCCCACUUCUCUGCCUCCUUCCGAUCGUCGAGGAAGAUGUCGGGCUCAGACGGGUCGUGGGAGGCCCGGAUACGGAUGCGAUCGGGGCACUAGUGCUCCAUCUCCCGGUCAGCCCGCGCCUUAACGCCGCGGAUGAGGUCCUCGACGGUCUCGAGGGAGCCCCCAUGGCGCAGGAACAGGUCGACGAGGCAUGGGAACCGUCCGUCGUCGUCCACCGUCUUCCAGGUUCCGUCCUUUGUCCCCGAUGCCCCAAUUUCAUCCUCCUCGGAAGGAAAGCGGUCUUCCCACGCCCGACGUUCCCGGAGGAACCCUGGGGCGAUCCCGUCCAUGCCGUAAAUUGUCCUCUUGAUCUCGGACUCGGGGUCGGGGGGGUGCGCUUCAGGCAGGUGAGCGCCACCACUCCAUCCGCUCACCCCGGCUCUGCCCGGAUCACGGCAGGUGCCCCCGGGAGGAGCCACGCCGGGGUUGGGGGGCCGUACACCGGCAGGUCCUCCUCCUGCUCGCCGAGCUCUUGCGGCUCUGGUGGCACUGGCUGGGCCGGACCUUGGGGCGGAGGCUCGAGCGGUCCCUCCUCUUGGCCCCCCUGCUGCUGCUGCUGUUGCUGCUGCGGGGGUUGCUGCUGCGGUUGCUGCUGCGGUUGUUGCUGUUGCUGAUGCUGCGGUGGUUGCUGUUGCUGCUGCUGCUGUUGUUGUUGCUGCUGUUGCUGUGCCUCGUGCUCCUGUGGCUGGCGCGCCGCCUCGCGCGCCCGCUGUUCAUCCUCCCCCCUCUUCUUUUUCUGCUCCUCGAGGGUGCGGAGGCCGGCGGGCCAGGGAGUUGAUCCCUCGACAUGAGGGGUCGACGUUUCCUCCUCCAUGGUGCGGGCACCCCCAGACGCUCUGUCACCAUCAGACGUGUCGCUGAUGGUGAUGGGUUCCCCCUCGACCCCCAAUAAAGGAGGCUCGGGGGCUCCCUCUGACGUUUGCGUCUGGGGCGCCUCACCAACAGUCGACGGUGACGGAGUAGGAACGGGACGAGCCGGAGCCCUCUCGACGUCGGCUGGAGGUUGAGAGUCGGAGGAGCCUACAAAGCGAAGGGUAAGGGCCAGACGAUACAGUAACCGACACAAGGACGUCACAAGGCCCAGAAGUAAACUACGAACCCGGUUCCUUGGAGGCGGCUCCCGUUUUGAGCCUCUUUGCCAUAGAUGGCUGGGCCUGCUCGAGGGUCCGCUUCAGCCUGAGAAAAGAUCGGUAUAUGAGAAAAGAUCGGCAGAAGAACAGGAAGACAGAGGCCACAACAUUGAAAGGGCUUACCCCACAGGAAGAAUAGCUCGCCUCCCGCCGUCCCGACCGGUGGGCCUCGAGCCUCCCCGCGUCAGGGCUCCAGGCCCCUCGAGGGCAGGCGCUAGCCUAGGCGCAUCCGUUCCCGCUUGGCGGGCGCCGGGACUGGCACUCCUGCGGCCGGCCUCUCCUUUCUCGGAGGCCGCGGCACGACCGCGGGUCAGUGGCCCCGUCGCCUGGGGCCUAGCAUGAUCGCUCUCCCUGGGCGCCGGGGGAGGGCGCGGCGCAACUUGACUAACCUUGGGCGCGGGAGGGGUAUCGGCGCGAGGACGGAGGGAUCCGCCUGGGCCCCCCGUCGAAGCUUCCGCCCGAGGAGCGUCGACAUCGCCUUGAGAUGGACCCCCGAGGAUCCGGUCAAGACGAGACGCCAUCCCCUCGGAGUCCUCACUAUCCUCAUCGUCGUCGUCGUCCUUCUCGCUGGGGGAUUCUUCCUCAGGCUCUCCCCUCUGCCUGGAUUUGGACCGGCGCGCUUCUAAGGCUUGACGGUCAAGGUUUUUCUUCUUCUCCCCCUUCUUCUUAGAGUCCUUGACGGACUUCAAUUUCUCGGCGGAACGGCGCCGCGCGUCGCGGUCGACUUCAUCCUCCCUCACCGGGGGCCUCGAGGAUCGAACGUCGAUCCGCCCCUGCCGCAGUAAAAGUAGAAUCAGGAAAAAGGGGUGGAAAAAGAACCCAGAGUCAAGGUUACCAAGAGGAAGAAAACAUACCAGAUCGACCGAGCCUUCAUCAGGCCUCAUAGGGAAGCCGUUGACGUGCAGCGACUUGAAAUCGCCGGCGAUGGCCGCCCUGACCCGGGCGGCGACCUCAUCGUCCGCCAAAGCCAUGUUGGACAUCCGGCAAGCCUCGAGAUCCCGGGACGAGACGCCCGGCCCCAUUUCGUCCAUCCUCAGCGGCCGAGACAUCAGGGGAAGGACUCUCCGACGAUGGACGGCCGAGAGGACAAGAGCGGCGGACAGGCCCUCCAGGCGCAGCUUCUUCAUAGCGUCGAGGAGGGGGUCGAGCCGCGACUGGUGCUCCUGGACGACGCCGUACGUCCAGUUGUCUGGGCGCUCCGAGAUCAGACGGCCCGUGUAGGCGGGGAAGAGACUGUCAUCGUUUCUCAGAUAGAACCACUGGGAGUCCCACCCAGCAUGGUUCGACGACAGCCCCACCGGGAUGUACUCACGCGGCCUCUCCGUCUUCUUCGUCUUCAACACCAGGUUGAGGCACCCGGCCCGCACGGGUUUCCUCACGCCGGUGGUUCCGGUGGGGGCGUUGAAAAGUUCGCCCCUGUAGAGGUGGAGCCAUAGAUCCCAAUGGGGCAUCAUCCCCAGAUAGCCCUCACACACCGCGGCGAAGACCGCCGCGACGGUGAUGGCGUUCGGGGAAAAAUGCUGGAGCUCCACCCCAUAGUGGAAGCAGAGGGCCCGCAUAAAGCGACUCGGGGGAGCGCCCAGGCCAUGGCGGUGGAAUUUGGCGAAUGACACCACAUAGCCCUCGGGUGGCUGGGGCUCCCUGUGACUCGCCGGCGGCGCGAUCCAUUCCGGCGAAGACUGCGAGGUGCGGCGGCGCAAGAGCCCUUCAUUCUCGAGCUCUAGCAGACGGCGGUCCGACAUCAACGACGGACGCCAGUCGUCGGCGGCAACAAGCCUCACAGGCAUCUUGGUUGGAAGGAUGGUGGAUUCGCUACCGCUCGAGGGGAUGCACGCGCGCAUGAAGAAAGCAAGAGAGCAAAGGCAGCAAGAAGAUGAAGGCGAGAAGACGGAAGAGGAGAGAAAGAAUGGAGCAACGCCACGGCGUAUUUAUAGAUAGCGGCCAACCAACGGAUGGAUCUGAUAAAUGAGGUAACUCCCCCCAUAAAUGCGCCGUCUAACGGUCCUUUCUCUCCUCACAGGCCGGACGCUCCGAAUUCCCCGCCGAUACAGUGUCGCAACGUCACUUACCUCAAAAGGUGCGCCCAACGGGCAGAAAGACGAACCGGCACAGCAGCUUCCUUGCUUCGUAAGCCAAGGUACGUGCCCUCAACAGUCUCGAGAGGUCGAUGGCUGGCCCGUCGAAAGGGUUCGACAGCCGAUCUCGAGCACCAAGAGUCAGGGAUCCCCAGCGAGCGGUCGAAAAUCGAGGCCCGCCUCGAAGACUCGCUGGCGAUGUCCAAGGUAGGGUCGAGACAGUCGAGAGGAAUCCCCCCGGCGGGAGGCAUCGAGCCGCUGGACUCUAUCGAAUGAGACCGGUACCCCCGACCACGUCGACCCUGCUUUAUGAGGACGCCUCCGGGCUACAGCUGACCCCCUCGAAAGGGGCACAGGUUCUCACUUGGACUACCCGAUAGGAACUCAAUCUGGGGUGGAAGACGCUCGCUCUAUCGAGAGUACGUCGAAACCUCCUCGCAAGGCAAAGCCGAUCAGAACCUUCCACCACUGGUGUCGACAAUGUCUAUGCAAAUUAGGCAAAAAUAACCCUCGAAGGAGUUAAAUACUCCCUCGAGGGCUCGGGGGCUACCCCCGCGGGGUCGCUCGCGCGCCCCCACGGAACCUCGACUGUAAAAAUAAAAGUCUCCACCCGAGCGCCAGCGCUCAAAUGGAAACUCGGGGGCUACUGUCGAGGGUAUCAACAAGGGGUACCCUCACCGAUGCGUAUAACGAGACCAUCCGUACAUAAAACUAGUUCCUCGAUUCGACGCUCUGUCUGCACGUACGCGCGGCCAUCGACGGCCGUAGCCUCGAAGAUGGAAAUAGCGUCGAGCGAAUCAAUCGGGCGUCGAGCUCUGGUUACCGUCGAAUACGGAACAGGCUCAUGCGAAUCGGGAGGCGUCGAGCGCAAGGACGCCGCCGCCGCCUGACGCGCGCACGCGAGCCGGGGCAUUAAAUGCGCCUGGUGCUCCCCCACCUAACACAUGGGUCACGGGAGGCGUGAUAGGGAACAGGCAUCCGUCCCAUCGAUCUUUUUGCAGCCUUCCCCACCAAACGGCGCAGGGCGUGUCAGGACGUGGGAAACAGAGAGGGCGCGUCUAAUCAAGACCCCCUCGAGGUAGCCAAGGUCAGCGCUUCAACAUCAGGACGCCGUACGACAUCCGACCCUCGACCAGACAAGGAUCCUUCCAGGGGACGAGUCGGGUGUCGACUGACUACAUCCCAACCACUCCGCCGGAUUUGCCGCCAAAACGUACAAGCAUACAUCCGUCGAACCAAUCCAAGACGGCGCGCAGAGCAGAAUGCAGGGGCACGCGUAAUCAUCACCAGGCUAUUAGGACGGGACGGCUCGAGGCCAUGCCGGUACAGAAGCCUCGAGUAGGUCAGCGCACCAUACUGCUAUCGACUCCUAUUCUGACGCCUAUACGUGUACCCUGGAUCUCUCCUUGGAACUAUAAAAGGAGGGACUCAGGAAUAGAAGAGGACACCACGCUCACACGUAGUAGAGCUCCACACUUCAUACCGCACUUGUAUUCACCCCUGUACAAGCACUUAGGUGCAAGAUAAUACAAACUCUCUCCCCCCCGCUGGACGUAGGGCCUUCUCUUGCUCGAACCAGGAUAAAUCUUUGUGUCUUCUUGCAUCACCAUCUGGGAAAGGGAGCACGCAUACAAAUUUACUCGUUGGUGUGACCCCCCGAGGGGAAAACACCGACAAUUGGCACACUAUACAGGCGGUUGGUAACAUAUUUCUACAGGCGUUUUUCGGAUCCGCCUGCGCUGGAGGUCAGUAGAAAUCGUCAAUUUCCACAGGCGGUCGCUUGAGAGCCGCCAGUAGAAAUAUUUUACAUAGGUGGCUCUCUUAUGGAACCGCCUGUGUAAAUGUUCAUUUACACAGGCGGUUCCCUAAGAGAGCCGCAUGUGUAAACCUAUUAAAAUAUGUAUUAUUUAUUUAUUUUUUAAUUAAUUUAUUUAUUUAUUUAUUACUUUAUUGUUAUUAUUUAAAUAUAUUGAUAUUGGUUGGUCUUCUAACAUAGCAACAUGUAAUUUAAAUACUUCAUCUCAUACAUACAUUUGUAUACAUCAAAGUUUGGUGCUCAAAGACAUAAAGUUAAUUACAAGAGUAUAUCCAUCAUCACACAUCAUAUAUAUAUACAUCAAAGUUUGUUUCUGUCCUCUAAUAACCCUCUUUAGUAAGUUUGAGCUUACUAAUCUCUGUUAGCACUCGGAACUGUGGCCUGGAUAAUUGACUUUCAUCAUCAUGAUAUUUGCCUUCACGUGGAAUGACAUGCUUCAUGAUGAACGAGCAGAUGUCCUCAACUAUGUUUUCUAAAGCACGUUCGUCCAUGCGCUCCGCCGUCCCUUGCUUAUAUACCUGCAAAGAAAGUUUAUAAACAUUAUAUAUUUUAUGACUUCCAACUUUAAUAGACUAUUACUUAUAUUACCUUGUCAGGGUUCCUUGCAUAUCGUCCGUUUUCUCUCAUGUUCUCGCACACGUAGUAGCCACAGAGGACAGAUAACGGUGGUUGCUUCAUGCACUGUAUAACAGGAGAGUGGCUAUUUAAUUAUAGUUGCAACUGUGGUCGUAUGUGUAUGAUUUGUAUUCAUAAUAGUAAACUUUUAUACGUACCGGCCAGUUAUGUAUAACCUCCAAUGGUUGCCCUGGUCUCUUAGACUCGCACUUUCCAUGAUUUAUCUUAUAGAACCUGUAUGCCCUAUGAUCUCAAAUAGAAUCACCAUGUUAUUGUCAAAUUCUCACUAUGCUUAAGUAUGCAUGCAUAGCUUGACUUACAGCUCUAGCAGUUUGAUGAAUGGAGCAUAGCUUUCUUUUGGGUAAUCUGCGGAGUCUAGUACCAACACCCUUCCCUCCUUGGGAUAAAUGAUGAAGCAUAUCCAGUGCCUCCUGCUCGAAUUAAAUCCAUGAUGCAUUUAUGCAUUGGAAUAAUUUAGAUAGAUAUUUGUAAACUCACACUUACCCAAAGUGGUACGGGGCCACCACCUCUUUCCUGUCUUGAAACUUUAUUAGUGAAUGUCCAAUGUAAAAGGCAUAUUUGGCUUCAAAAUCAAGUUUCAACUUUCGGAGUUUCUCAUCCCGUUCUACACCUUCCAAACCCUGUACCUCUGUGCUGUCAUUCCCGAUCCAGAAUGUGUGCCGAUCUUCGGCUAUAUCUAUUGGGCAGAGAUAGGUAUUCCUUUCUUCGGCACAAUAAUUUAGGUCCGAACCAAAAUACAUAUCUUGUUGAUCAUAUAACAUUCUGCAAGACAGAAGCAUGUCAGAUAUUGAAAUUUGAUGCAACUACAAUGUGUGUAACUAUGUAACACUUAUAAUGCAAAUGGCGUUACGAUCUGUACAUCUAGCAUCUCGUGGUUCAUCAGUGCCCACAUGUCAUCAAAUGUAAGCAUGCAUUUGUUAGUACUCUGGCUGAGAAAUGCUAUUUGUGGUAUGCGCAUGCUUAUGGUGUCGAUGCCAGUAGUAGAGGCUCUCAUGUACCAGUCAUGAAACCUUUUUAUACCACUUGGUUUCUUCAUAAGUUUGGUCCGACUGAGUAGAGGCUUUCCCCACACAUACUUUUUGGGGAUAGUCUUGUAGUCUUCUGCAGUUGGCAUGUUGAAAUUUAUAGGAGUUAUGACCUUAGGCGCCGGCACCUCUGACUUUGCUAGCUCAGAAAUCUCAUGCUCUUGUAUUGUGCGUUUCGAAGCAAUGCCUGACAAAAAUCUCACUUGCCCAGCUGAUUUUUUCUUUGGCUCGAAUGGUGAAAUCAACUUAGGUAUCAGAAAUACUUUCUUCUUUAGCACCUUUGGUGGCUCACUUACUGGUUCUGGAUCUUUGAGUUGUGGGGAAGGGGUGGAAUUGAAUGGUGGUGCAGAUUGUGUUGACUGUGGGGUAGAAAGAUCAUGGAGAGGAGAUGGUUGAUGGACAGGGAAAACAUGGAGAGGUGAUUCUGGUGGGUCAGGAAGAGACUGGGGAGGUGAAGGCGGUGGGUUAGGAAGAGGAUCGACAUGAGCUGAUGACUCUUGGGUUAGUGGCAUCUCUUGAGAGGGUGGUGGUGGCUCCCUUAGUUGCACGUCCCUCCGAGGCCAUAGGAUGAAAUUGUUUAUCGCCUGUCCCAGUUUCACAAUGUCCUCGGGACCAGGGAUGUCUAGAAUCUCGUCCUCAUAUCCUUGGACCACGGUUGAUACCUCUACUCUACAGUAGUCUUUAGGGAUGUCAGCACCAUGGUAUUUAGGUCCUCCUGGGAUCCCUUUGCCCGUGGCUACUUCCCUUGUACGAUGAUUGUUAAUCCCAUAUCUUAUGACAAGGGAGCAAGGUGUAGAACUAACAAUGUCGUCAACUGGAUAGUGAUCCUUAUUUGCCGUAGAUGCGACACUGCUUGGAAUGAUUGUUUCACUUGAUGCCACCAAUGGUUGCGACACCACUGGGACUAGCUGCAUUUGGGGAGCUUGAGUGCUCAUUUGGGUAGCUGCAUUUGACAUGGUACUCGCUAGUUUCUGCAUCAACUCAGGAGGAGGAUUUUCUAGCAACUUCCCCAUCAUCUCUUGGAAGUCUUAGCCUCUUCCUGAAAAUAAUUUGCCAUUUGUUCCUUGUACCGAUCACGUUUCUUAUACUCAUUUGCCCAUUGAGGGCCGAAUCCAUCCUUCUUUGGAUGAGAUGCCUCAAACAUGGCCAGGAUGCUCGGGGUUACCGAUGCCAACACUAAGGAUGUCCCUCUCCCUUCGUGGCGUAAACUUGCCUUCCUGCUGCAUGCCUGCCACAGCAAAGACGCUCUUCAUUGCUUCAUCAAGCAUUGGGUCUUCAAAGGACACACCCGUCUCGGUUUCCUUUGGUUUCCGAGCACGGAUCCAAUUCGCGGACCUUUCACCGAUCUUCUCGGACAACACUGGUGUUGACACUUGCUAACACCACUCGAAUACUAGGUUGUCAUCCCCAGCAUGGCACUAGAGUGUACUAUGGUAUUUAUACGCACACAGAUAAUCCGCAAGCGCACGGAUACCGUUGAAGCUUUUUACCCGGUUAAAGGUUUUAUCGUAUCCACAGGGAAACGGGAGAACUGAUCUACGCUCUAACUUAACCAAGAUAAGUAAAUAGGUGUAAAUAGGAAAGAUGGUAGAAUCGAAUAAGACAAUAUUAAAGGUAAGAUAACAGUGAGUGAUAAUAUGGGAAUAGAGAGUAGAGCAAUUCUAGUAUAUGGGCGAUGGUAGCAGAAUGGAGAGGAUAACUAUGGUUUCUCUACUUCAAAGGGGUAUGUCUAUGUCUGGGACGAACCACGUGAUAAGAGUACACCACAAAGGAUGCUUAUCCAUAGGCCAAUAAACCCUACCCGUCCUGCUAACGAGAGGUGGACUACAGAGGACCAACGUAACUGUCAAUUACGCGGCCUACCACACGAUCCAGCUAGACAGGGGAUAUCCACAAGUAAUCUAGGUCUAAGCACCACGCUUACACCUAUACUACAACUCUAAGCUAUAGGGUCCUAUAGAUUUGAAGUACUCAAAAGAGUUGUGAACCAGAACAUACAUGAUUAGUAAUUGCAUAACGAAUUAGAAGUAGAUUACCAGAGUUAUCCCAUGAGCAAGCUUGAUUAGAGCUUGAUCAUGACGAAGUACAACCUGAGGAAGAACCAACAGGCCGGCCUCUCCUCUAAUCCUCCUUCGCUCUCCAUCUCGCUACUAUCUAGAUCUACUCUAGUUUAGAGAAGAGAGGAGAGCUUUCAUCUCUAAACCCUAGCUUUUGCUCUAUCUAGGAAUACUGAAUAAUGAUCAAGGGGUGCCUCCUCCAGGGGCCAGGGGGUCUGGUUUUAUAGUCCCCUCAAGUGAACCUACGCCGUUGGAUCAAACCGACAUUGAUUGAACGGUUAUCCUUGAUCCUUUAGGUCGGUGGAACAUCAUCCCGAAAGAGAGUCCUGAUCCAACUCUGUAGCUAGGCGGGCGCCCAAGGGGGGAGGGCGGGCGCCCUGCCCCCGAGCCCGCUCGGCCUCCCGUUCGUUCCCGUGGCUUCUGGAGUCUUCUAGAUGAUAGAAAAUUGCGCGGCACGUUAAUAUCUCUAUGUAAACCCGACGUGUGGGCCUUUCUUCCGUAUUUCCUGAUAACCCCCUGCAGAAAUAGACAAACACCAAAACUCAUGGAAUUCUGUCAGAUAAAACCCUAAGUUUAGAUGUUGGUUGUAUUUGGAUCCUUUUCUUUGUUUAUUUGCUGAUUAUAUUUGGUACUUAAGGACCGUCAACAACUCCCCCAAGCUUACCUCUUGCUCGUCCCUGAGCAACGAUGGACUCAAGUGUUUCUGCAGUGGUUUUAUGCCUUAAAGGUACUCAUGCGUUCAAACAAGAUCUCAUCUCUAGGUUAAGGUAAACUGUUAAGAUUUAAACUCACUCAUAUUACCUUUCACCAUGGGGCUUGCAACCGUCACUUGUGUCUUGAGCAGUUAAAAGAUAGAACGGUCAAGUCAAGCACCAUAUCUCUUGUUCUUUGAUCAACUAUAACUCUGAAGUUUUUUUUGCAGAUUUUCAAAUAAAACUCAGAGAUUCCUUGUAUGACUCUCUCAAUUCUCUCUUUUGUGGUAUUUCUGGAUCCUUACCAAGGCAGUGAUAAUAUAGGCCUUCUCUAAAAGUAUGUAGUAUUUGUGGUAUGUGGCAUAGUGAUAUUGCCUUCUCUCUCACCCUACUCUAAUAAGGUUUGAUAUCUAGAGCUCAUAGGUGGGAGACAGCUAAUAUAUACUUACAAGACAUUUAUUGCAUAGUCAAACCAUGGAUCCAGAGAAACAAGUCAAUAAUUCAAAUCAAGAUGUGCAUGUGUGGCGAAUGAAUGGUGUAUGGUGAUAAUGGUGAUAAUGAUGAAAAUAAUGGUGAAAGUCUAAUUCUACGUUUGCUCUUUUGAGGGGAUACAUACCUUUCUUGCACUUUGAAGGUUUUUGAGAGGAAUGAGAUGCUCUAUAUUUUCUUUUUCUUUUCUCUCAGGUGGGUAUCUUGUACCCCUAAUUCUACUAUCGGACACUUGUCCAUUUUUACCUCUCGUCUGACUUUUUCUUUUCUUUCGAGGUUCCGGGCACUUGCCCCUUUUUAUUUCCUCGUAUUCACUUUUUUUUUCAGAGCACUCACCCUCCUAGAAUAAUGUAGCAAGUGGUAGUAACCAAAAUAUCUCGAGCAUUUAUUACACGGAGAAUAACAGGGAUAGGAUAAUGUUUUUGGCUAUUCUCUCCUGGAUAGGAGUAGAAUAAUUUUAGGUGAAUCUGGAGAUGGAAAGGAGUGGAUGUAUGUGGAUGCGUACUUCUGGAGUAGAAGCAGCAUGUAUAAGUGAACGUGCAAGUGAAUCUUGAUUUUAUCCGCAUGACAAGCUCCUAAGGGCCUACACAGCUUGACCACACUCAAUGCUCAUAAGCAGUAAAAAGUAAAUGUAUGGUUCAUAGUCUAAUAAGCAUGUAUAUACGGCUGUGGUAGGAUUUUAAACUCUCAUCAUACAGGAACUCAUCAUGCAACAUUUUAAAGAUUUUCAAAGAUAAAAUUCUCCAGAAUUCUAGCAUCUCUAGGAACAGAUAAACAGCAACUCAACCUUCCCAUAUCAUAUCCGUUAACGACUUAGACUUUAGAUCAAGUACUCUUCCCACAAGUUCAGGUUUAGAGCAAAUCUUAAUUCAUAACAGUCAUGCCUAAACUUGAGAGAGAUUUCAAUUUUGAGAACUAGUCAUGGCAGAGCAACUAUUCAUCAUUCCUAUGUGAGAGCUUAUCAUGAGGGUUCAUAGCAAACUUUAUUUAUUUAUUUAUUUAGCAAACUAAGCAUAGAUAUAUAUAUAUAUAUAUAAGUAAGCAUAAAAUCUUUAUUUGGGUUUUUAUGAUUAUGCAUCUUUUUAUUAUUUGAGUAAAGUAUAAAUGCGAGUAGAAACACUUAGCUGGAUAAAUGGGGUGCUCUCCCCCAAACUGGAUUUUGACGUAAUUUCUUCUAAUGUAGCUAGCAGGUGAUGGAGGUGUAUUUGAAUGUCGGCAGCACCCUCACAGCGAUUAGGAUGUCCUCCGUCUGCUAGUCUUCUUUGAUCCUUGAAUUCUGUGGAGCUCAAAUAGACAACAAAGCUUUGUGGAACUAGUUAAGUGUUAGUAUAAAUAUCUAGCAUUUAUCAUAUUGAGCCUCCUUAAUAAAUGUUACUCUCUUUGGUAGGAUCAUAAAUUUAUUUUUAUAUUUUCAUUUUUAUAGGACAGGAAUAUAUUUAUUUUAUUUUUACACCACCACAGUGAAUGUACUUAUGGGUUUUAUGCCACGAGCAUACUCAUAUGGGGGCUUAGUAUUUUUUAACAUUUUUAUUUUCUUUUCAAGAUAGCAGGAUUAACUAAUAAUCUAUUUAAGGAUAGUAAAUAAUUAAAGGGAAAAGGGAAUGCAGAAAGGAUAAAUAUGGAUAACUACCGAUUUUACCUUUCGGCGAGGAUUCAAUGUUUUAAGUCUUCUGAACAAGACUUCUCACCGUGUUCAUUGUUCAGGUGCGUCAUUUGAUCACUACACCACAACCUUCAAACAACGAUGGACAAUCUGUUGCUGAAAGGGCUUCUACCAACUUUUGUAGGGCUCGAAGGUCAUCACUAGGCUGCACAUCAGGACUGUCAUCUUCAAAAUCCCCUCCAUCAUCUAGACCACCAGCUAGGUCCCUAAGCAAUUCAGAUAUUUCAUCAUCUUCAACCUCUUCAAUAGGGACAACACCAUCACUAUUCCCAGGAUUCACAUCAGAUGAACUAGCUUCUCCAUGGAAGUUCCAUGUUGUGUACCCCUUUAAAAACCCAUCACAUAUCAAGUGUUCACGUAUAUCACAUGCCUCUCUCCAAAAUGAGUUAGCACACUUUUUGCAAGGGCAUAAUAUCUUGUUUCCUAUCGUUGAAUUUUUAAAUGCAUAAGCUAUAAAACCAUUGACACCUUGUAUAUAUGCCUUUGUGUGCCUACAUGGGAUUCAUUAUGUUAAAUUCUAUGUCAACUAAUUAAAUCUAAGCAGUUAAGAAAUAGUUCUUGUGUGUACCUAGGCUCAUUCUCAAUCCAUGUUUUAUCCAUAGACCUUUGUGGGGGGAGCAAGAGGCUUUCUUUAUAUAUAUAUUUCCACACUAAAACAUCACACAUCAAUACAAAACCACAAGACAGAUGUAGCUUAGAACAAGGCAAUCAGGCAGUCAUGAACGAGAACUAGAUAAAUAAAACCUUACCGUUUCACAGAAGCUCCCACAACCAACAACUUCGCAGCAAUGAAGGCCAGCUGCUAUGAUUGUUCAAGAAAAUUAGAAAUCCUUGCAAGAUAUUCACCACCUCCUUUACUCAAAAAAAAGUAAGGCAAAAUAAAAUGCCAAUUUAUAGCAAUAUUCAAAGUGUAGGACACAAGUAAAUGAUCAGAGAAGUCAUGCUGAUGUUUACCUCUUCAAUAAUCCCUUCAAUAUAUGUUGCUGAUGCACAAACAGGAUAACCCUACAAGGUACGUUAUUAGUUAUUAGUACGUAACAAAAUAAUAAUAAUUCUUCUGUACAGACUACUAACUUGAGCAUAUAUUCAUUAAGAUUAAACAAGCUGCUUCAACAAAGAACAAUCAACAAUAGAACUUAAUAAGAUUAAAGGGAUUAUUAACCAUUCUUGACUGUUAGCCUAAGUUGGACUUCAUAAUCAAAAUCAAAUCCCAAAAUCCCUCUCAUCCCUCUCUUGAGCAUAUAUUCUUGACUGUUAGCCUAAGUUGGACCCCAUCUCCCUCUCUUCGUCCUCGUCCUUCUAAUCAUCUCCACUCCAAUCCCACGCGCUUCGGCGCUCCGCGUCCCGCUCCGCCAGGCAGCCACCCUCGUCUCCCUCUCCCAUUCGCUCCUCUCCCGUGUCGCCGCCACACAUGCCGCCCGUGGGGACGCCGCAGCGGCCGCACGCGCCCGGCGAAUCGCUUCCCUGCUGUCGUCUCGUGGCGCGUGGGGGCUCGGCUGGGAUGCGGCCUCUCUGCGCGGCCUCUCCUACGCGGCCGCGGCCUCUCGUCUCAUCGCCGCUGCCGCGGAGGCCUCGCCCCUACGUAUGUUCCGCCGCUGACGCUGUGCAGUGAGAGCUAAGGACUUACAGGGUUGACGCAGAGGAGUAGACGCAGGGAUGGGCGUUGGGGGCGCAGUGGAUGGGGCGUCUCCCGCGGUGGAGCGCAGCCUCUCCUGCGCGGCCUCUCCCGCGGUGGAGCGCAGCCUCUCCGGCCAAACGAGCAGGGGCGGCGUGGUGGAUGGGGCGUCGGUAGGGGCGUUGAGGGCGCGGUGGAUGCGGGCGGCGGUGGGGGCGCGUUGGCGCGGUUGAGACCGUCAAGCGUCGGUGGAUCGAUGCGGACCGCAGCAGACGCAGGGGCGGUGGGUGGAUGGGUGGGCGAGAGGGUUUGCAUUAGGGUUUAGGUCAUUAUGGGCCAAAAUUUUCGCGGGACGGGCCGAAAACUUUGCACCACUGGAUAUUUUAUUUCGCGACGGACGGUCCGAUUCAGUUGAUGACAUAUAGCGACAGACGAUCCAACGUAAAUUUAGAAUAAUUAUAGCAACAGACCGUCCAUUGAAGUAUUGAAAUUUAGCAACGGAUGCUCUGUGGGGAUCCUUUAGCAACAGACCGUUCAAUGCUAAUAUUUAUCUUUAGCAACACACUUCUGAUGCUAUUUAAGUGUUGUGGUGUAGUGGAUUCAGGUGUGGACCUUGACGUCUGCACCUCUUAAUACGGUGUCACCCAUGUUCUUCGUUUGCCCAGUAGUUCGAAGUGCGGUGUUGGCAGUAUCUUGCUCAGUGUGUUUGUGCUCGUAGUGUACCUACUCAUAGAGACAAGGCAGAGAUCAAGUGUAUGGGCCCUGUUGGUGGAAAACACCAACAGAACCAAAAGUGUAUUUGUUCUUCUCUAACCUUAAGCAUGGUGAGCAAGACAAAGUUGAUGAAUGAUAAGUUCAUGAGUGUAGCAUUUAAAACAUUUGUCGGAUCAGAUCGCUCAACCUAAUGGAAAGAUAAUCUAUCUAUAUAUAUGCCUUUUUCUUUAUAUCUUCCCAAAGAUUAAAUGUGCAACAUUUUAGCUCAUAUGGUUAGGAGUGUGGGAUCAUGGAGGUAGUACUAGGAACAAAGAUUAAAGGACUAAACAUGCUGAAUCAGUUGGGUUGGUUAAUUUGGAGUUAUAAAUCAUACAUGUUUGUCUGUUUUAUUCAUAUGAACGUCAGAACCAAGGAAAAGCUUAUAAAAGUGAUAGUCAAGUACCUUAAGUGUUGCCUUAAUUUAAGAGUGAUGGUACAGUCUCACCUUGUGGAAGCUUCCCAUUCGUAGUGGUUGUGUAUCUUGUUUAUGUACUUUGUCUCCUUCCAUGGAUCAUCUUUGUAUGAUGAAUGAGCUAUGUCCUUCUUGUGCAAAUUGUUAAACUUCAUGUGUCACUCUCUUCAUCUCCGAUGUGAGUUUAUCUCAGGACUUCCCAGGUUGAUAUUGAAAGUUUUCCUGUAGGGGUUAGUCCGAUAAAAUAUACCAAUAUCUACUCAAGCAGUUUUUAGUUCAGUAACCAAACUAGACUCCAUGUCUAAUCAGAUUAAGGAAGGCUAUUUAACCUAAGCACCAUGCUCAAUUUAAAUGCCAAUGGAAGUAUGUCGAGUACUUCCAAACCAACACUUGCAAGAAAAUAGACAAAGGUAGCAUGACAGCAUUUAUAGAGAUCUACUCAAGUGGAGAUAGAGUAGUGUGAUUAGUAUUUAACAAAUUGAGCAUGUCUCAAAGGUAGGGACAACCAACAUAGCAACAUGGCAAAGGAUGUUAAGUACUCCCCCAAGCUUGAAUUUUGCAAAAUUCAAGUUUGGAUGAAUUUAAUUCAAUGUUGUAUGAUGAUUGGUUGGACAUACCUUGUGCUUGUCAUUCAUCCGAUCUUCUUGCUCCAAUUCUGGAAAGGUUAGUGACAAGAAUACCCAAAGGAAUAUUUUUACAAUUAUCCUUAUAUGCUCAAUACACAAGGUAAUGUUGCAAAUAAUUAAAAGCUCAUGUUAUGAUCUGAUCAGUGCUUCUUUUAGGACACUAAGCUUGUCCUUGGGAAACCAUCAAUUUAUGUCGGCGAAGUGGUUUCCCUUCCAAUGCUGACCUAUAUCAAGAUCAACUCAACGAGAUCUACAAUAUUUAUUAUAGACAUAUGCAUCGACAACCGCCCUUUUAAAGUUUUUAUAAAUAGAAAGGAAGAGGGGGUUGGAGAUCUCAAAUGUGGUGAUGUUGGAGAGACCAAUAGAUUGGGAAGAUGUUGCAUUUGAGCAUGGAGUAAAUGAAGUGGCUAUGAAAUAAAUUCCAUACUCAUUAAUGUCAUCUUCGUCUCUAAUCUGAAUGUCCAGAGUUUCUCCUAGAUUGGUCUCAUUUAUGUCCUCUUCUAUAGUUGGAUGAAUCCCAUUUUCAAAGGGAGUCAAGAACUAACCAUUUGAAAUUGAGCCAAAGUCAGAAUCCAUUAAGGCUUCUUCCUUAUCCAUCCAUUCUACACAUUCUAGCCAUUUGGAACUUGUGAUCAGGAAAGGGGAGCUGAUAGAAUCUUCUAUAUAGCUUAGCUCUCCUUCUAUGGCAUUACUUGACAUGCCAUCCUUAUGGUCUUCAUGACUCCUAUGGUUUGGUCGUCUUGGUGAAUUGCUAGGAUCAUCAUGAGACUUAAAAGUAGAGGGAUAAGAGGGGUCUCUAAGGUCAAGGAUGGAUUUAGAACUUGUGAACAUGGAAGGGGAGCAGAUAGAGUCUUCUAUAUGGUUUAGCUCUCCUUCACUUGAUAUUUCAUCCUCCACUUCUUCAUAAUAGGAACCCGGACAUUCUCUAAGAGAAAUAUUAUUGCAAGGAUUUGAAUUAUCCUUGCUUGAAGGUCUCUUAUGGAACCAGAAGUCUAAACCAUCAGCAUUUGAAAGAUUUAAGGUCGGAAUUCCUUCCUCCCUUGGAGAAUUUUGGGAUAUUGAUGGUUUAGGAUCGAUAGCUAAAGUUUGGGAUUGAAGUGGUUGUGAUCUGGCUAUCGAAACUUCUUCUUCUUGUCUAGGAACUGGUUCUUUCUCUUUUUCAGGGAUAUAAAAGCUAGGAGACUUUCUGCUCAUUAAAUCAAUCAAAUUCCAAGCUUCACUAGCGGAUAGGUGGUGGAAAUAUCCUCCACAGGCCGCAUGAAGGGUUCGCUUAUUUUCCCUACUAAGGCCCUCAAAAAAGUGAAUUAGAAGAACUUCUUCUGGAAUAGAAAGCUUUGGGCCAGUGAGAGUAAGGUUAAUGAAGCGGUCCCAUGAUUUGCCAAGAGAUUCUUCUUCUAGUUGUCUAAAAGAAAUAAUCUCACGCCGAAGUUCAGCCACUUUGGAGAUUGGAAAAUAUUUAGAAAGAAAACUACUAUAUAACUCCUUCCAAUCUCCAUGAACACUCCUUACUUUGAGUUUGUACCAAUGUCUAGCUUUUCCUGUUAAAGAGAACGGAAAGAGCUACCAUUUAAGGGUCUCAUCGGACAUGCCUUCUAUGCGAAGGAGGUCAUAGACUCGAUAAAACUCUCUUAGGUGUGUAUAUGGGUUUUCCUCACCUUCUCCUGAGAAAGGUUGUUUUUGAACAAAUUCUAUGUAUUCGGGGUCUAUCUCAAAACUAGAUGCUAUGAUAGGCUUUGAAGAUUUUGGUGGUUCGAGACGUGUGCCCGUAGGUCUAUGAAAUUCAUAGAUAGACAUGUUUGAAUUCAUGAUAGACCAGAGAUCAAGGAUUAGAUAAGAAGAAAGAAUAGCAGAGAUAAGGCAAAAGAUAAAAGGAAAAGUAUAUUUUUUUUAUUUUUUUAUUUUUUUAGAAAAUGAUUAAGCUAGUUCGUAGUCAACUCAGCAACCGUUUCCCCGGCAACGGCGCCAAAAAUGCUUGUUGACACUUGCUAGCACCACUUGAAUACUAGGUUGUCAUCCCCAGCAUGGCACUAGAGUGUACUAUGGUAUUUAUACGCACACAGAUAAUCCGCAAGCGCACGGAUACCGUUGAAGCUUUUUACCCGGUUAAAGGUUUUAUCGUAUCCACAGGGAAACGGGAGAACUGAUCUACGCUCUAACUUAACCUAGAUAAGUAAAUAGGUGUAAAUAGGAAAGAUGGUAGAAUCGAAUAAGACAAUAUUAAAGGUAAGAUAACAAUGAGUGAUAAUAUGGGAAUAGAGAGUAGAGCAAUUCUAGUAUAUGGGCGAUGGUAGCAGAAUAGAGAGGAUAACUAUGGUUUCUCUACUUCAAAGGGGUAUGUCUAUGUCUGGGACGAACCACAUGAUAAGAGUACACCACAAAGGAUGCUUAUCCAUAGGCGAUAAACCCUACCCGUCCUGCUAACGAGAAGUGGACUACAGAGGACCAACGUAACUUUCACCUACGCGGCCUACCACACGAUCCAGCUAGACAGGGGAUAUCCACAAGUAAUCUAGGUCUAAGCACCACGCUUACACCUAUACUACAACUCUAAGCUAUAGGGUCCUAUAGAUUAGAAGUACUCAAAAGAGUUGUGAACCAGAACAUACAUGAUUAGUAAUUGCAUAAUGAAUUAGAAGUAGAUUACCAGAGUCAUCCCAUGAGCAAGCUUGAUUAGAGCUUGAUCAUGAUGAAGUACAACCGGAGGAAGAACCGACAGGCCGGCCUCUCCUCUAAUCCUCCUUCGCUCUCCAUCUCGCUACUAUCUAGAUCUACUCUAGUUUAGAGAACAGAGGAGAGCUCGCAUAUCUAAACCCUAGCUUUUGCUCUGUCUAUGAAUAAUGAAUAAUGAUCAAGGGGUGCCUCCUCCAAGGGCCAGGGGGUCUGGUUUUAUAGUCCCCUCAAGUGAACCUGGGCCGUUGGAUCAAACCGACAUUGAUUGAACGGUUAUCCUUGAUCCUUUAGGUCGGUGGAACAUCAUCCCGAAAGAGAGUCCUGAUCCAACUCUGUAGCUGGGCGGGCGCCCUACCCCCGAGCCCGCUCGGCCUCCCGUUCGUUCCCGUGGCUUCUAGAGUCUUCUAGAUGAUAGAAAAUUGCGCGGCACGUUAAUAUCUCUAUGUAAACCCGACGUGUGGGCCUUUCUUCUGUAUUUCCUGAUAACCCCCUGCAGAAAUAGACAAACACCAAAACUCAUGGAAUUCUGUCAGAUAAAACCCUAAGUUUAGAUGUUGGUUGUAUUUGGAUCUUUUUCUUUGUUUAUUUGCUGAUUAUAUUUGGUACUUAAGGACCGUCAACAACUGGCAACCCUACUGCCUUCUUCGCAGCCUCUUCUUGCAUCCAUUUAGGAACUUGGUGCCGGUAACCACCUGUGCCUAGAUGGUGGUGGUACUUGUUCCUCUUUGCGAGGUGGGAGUUGGCUUCGCUCCGAGCUAAGAAGUUAGGGUCAUUCCUCUGCUCUAGAAAAACAGCCCACUGCCCUUUAGUAAUAUUGUAUUUAGAUGUCGGAUCCAUCCCUGUCUUUGCAUACUUGACAUUCAUCUCCGACCUCCAAUUUUGGAAACUAACCGCACAUUGCUUCAUUGUAUAUGCCUUCACUAAAUCUUCUGGCACAUUCCUAGGAAACUAGAACCUGGUCUUAAUCUUAUCCCAAAUUUUGAUCUUGUGAUUAUUCGACACACCGGCCCAGUUCUUAACUGUGAUAUCAAGAAAGUCCCUCACACAGAAACCAAUUGCGUUCCUGUAUUUGGGUAGGGCCUCCUCUGGAGCUAGGGGCUGUCCGGUAGGGCUCACAUCUAUGAUGGCAUAUGUGUCAUCUGGAAAUUGGUUCAACCCUCUCUUGCCUCGUUUCAAACCUUGUCGCUUCAGUUUUCCUAGACUGACAUGGCCUCUCAGGGCUCGUCGUUGCUGUCGUCGGUUCCGGUGCGUCUUUGUGUGCCACUUCCUCCUGAGACAUCAUCUCUCUAAACUGAGACAUUGCCUCCUGAGUAUAGACAUGUUAAUCAUGGGCGUGUUUAUAUGUAGGAACUAUGAAUAGAAAUCAUUUAAUUACAUGAAAUCGUGAAUGUCUCUAAUUUACCUCAUCGGCUUCUGGAUUGUAAUCGGGGUCACGUGCCAAUUCACGACGAGUCUUCCUCACUUCUAGAGGCUCCAUGUCGUCGCUAGCUUCUUGUUCAUAGGAUGAACCUGAUGCUUCGCCCGUUUCUACUUGUUUCGUGACCUCACGAGCUUGUUCCAUAGGGUCAGUUGACCCUUCUACUUGCUCCGUGGGUUGGGACUACAGUGCUUCGUCCUUGUGCGGAGAACUCAUCGCAGAAAUCUAUGUAAUUUAUGCAUAAAAUUAAAUGAUUUACAUACACUAAUAUAUACACUAAUAUAUCAUACACUAAUAUAUACAUAAUAUAUCAUACACUAAUAUAUUAAAUGAUUUACAUAUACACUACUACCUAUAUAAACAGAUUAAAUUUACAUACACUAAUAUAUACACUAAUAUAUCAUACAUUAACAUAUACACUAAUAUAUCAUACACACAUAUAUUAAAUGAUUUACAAAGAGAUUAUAACAAAAAGAUAAAAUUAAAUUUACAUAUACACACUAAUACAUAUGCAACGGGAAAUAAUAACAAGUAUUUAUAAAAUAACAACUAUGAAUAAAAUCACAUGUAAAAGACAUAAUAAUAUUCCCUGAUUUUAUUUUUAUUUUUUCUGAUUUUUAUAAUUUUCUGCUGUUUUUUACGGUUUCAUUCAAUUUUUUCAUAAAAAAAUUGUUAAAUAAAAAAAAAUCCCAGCCCAACAGGCCCAGCAGCCGUCACUCCCUCUCCCUUCUCUCCCUCUCUCUGGCAGGUGGGCCCCACCUGUCGGGGUCAUCCCCUACCUCCAGCCGCCACCGCCACCGCACCGCCCCUUCCACCACCGCCUGCCCCGCACCAGCCCCAUCCUCUUCCACCAUCGCCACCGCGGCCAUCCCUUCCCCUUCCACCACCACCACCGCGGCCGCCCCCCUUCCCCGUCCGGCCAGCACCACCAUCGCGCCCCCACCACCACCGCCGCCACAUCGAGGAUGCGCAGGGAGAGAGAGAGAGCGCGCGAGCAGGAGAGGCUCUCACCGCGGGGCGGCGUCGGCGUCGAGGGCGGAGGAGACGGUCACCGCCCGACGGCGUCGAGGUCGGCAACAACGACGGCGAUGGCGGUGGAAAAUUUCGGCAGCGUGUCGGCUUAGUUUGAAUGAACAGGGCACCAGACAUAGAAAAUUUUCGGGCGGAGAAGACCUAGGGUUAUAUAGGCGNNNNNNNNNNNNNNNNNNNNNNNNNNNNNNNNNNNNNNNNNNNNNNNNNNNNNNNNNNNNNNNNNNNNNNNNNNNNNNNNNNNNNNNNNNNNNNNNNNNNUUAUUUAUGUAUUAAACAAGAUAUAUGGCACAUAUUCAAUUUAAAUCAUUUUAAAUAAAGCUGCAUACAAAAGUACCUCAAACAUGAAAUUUCAUAUUUUUAACAUGUGUCUCUGGUCAAGAGGAACACAACAAAAAUUUUUUCACUAAUUUAGGACAAAUAUUUUUGAAGAUAUGAUUUUUUGAAUCAUUUAAACAAUUUCUAAAGAUAUAUAUAAGAAAAACUUUAAAUAAACUGAAAAUCCAUUUGUACAGGCCAACCGCCUGUACUAAUAGCAUUUGUACAGGCGGUUGGCCUGUACAAAUGGAUUUUCAGUUUAUUUAAAGUUUUUCUUAUAUAUAUUUUUAGAAAUUGUUUAAAUGAUUCAAAAAAUCAUAUCUUCAAAAAUAUUUGUCCUAAAUUAGUGAAAAAAUUUUUGUUGUGUUCCUCUUGACCAGAGACACAUGUUAAAAAUAUGAAAUUUCAUGUUUGAGGUACUUUUGUAUGCAGCUUUAUUUAAAAUGAUUUAAAUUGAAUAUGUGCCAUAUAUCUUGUUUAAUACAUAAAUAAUUCUAGGAAUACCGGAAAAAUGUAAAUCCAAUUUUGUUAGCUUUAUUGUAGUGUGUAAAUGCUAUGAAAAAUAUAUUCCUUUGUGCAAUUUAUCAUUGACAAUAUAAAUGUGAGAAACCCAUAUGUUUGAGCAUAGUUCGGUGGAAUGAUUCUUAUAUGUUUGUGAAGCAUGUAUGUUAUGCCUAUCUCCAAAUGUCUUGAAAUUUUUUUGGCAAGCUUCUACACUCAAAUGAUAACCCCACACAAGAUCUUAGGAUUUUCUGGUCAUGCAAGCUAUUAUUACAAUUUUUUUUGUGCUAAAUGAGAUGAAAAAUGGUGGACUACACCUAAAUCCCACAAGGUUUUUCCACCAACCACAUGGAAGUUUUAUUUCCUAUGGUAUAUAAGACCCUGUGGAGAAGUUUGGCACCAUUUGGAGUCAUUUCAUGGGUACACUUAGUUCAAGCGCUAAUUAGUGGGUGACGUCGCACGGAAAUUCAAUUAAACCGGAUAAAGUAACAAACCACAUCAGAAAAAUCCCAAACUUGGUGGAUUGAACAUCAAUGGCACUAGUAACCCUUAGUAAAAGUUUGAGACCAAUACGACAUCAAUGGCACUAGUAACCCUUACAUGUAGAAAUAGAAAAGGGCACAUAGCAUAAGGUACACAUUUUAUCAUAAAUAGAUUACAUGGCAAAUGACAAAUAAAAUCUAGGCAACUACUAUUCUUCCUUGUCCAUCAUGACGCACCUAGGGCAACGAGCUCUGUGGAAUGCUUCGCUCAACAUUCCUUAUCUUUACUGGAUGGUCGUCUACAAAGAGAGACAUGUCACUGAACUGGUUAAAUUGAUCCAAGUCAGAUACACCAUCAACUCCGAUGACUUGUUGCUUUCCAGGGAAAACUAUGUGCUUUGGAUGGUCCGUAAUUUUCUUCUUAUCAUUAGGAGAGAGGACCUACUCAGCAUAGAAGACCUGUGCAGCACGGUUAGCCAUUAUCCAUGGAUCAUCUUUGUAGCCUACCUUGCUUAGAUCUAGAACUCUAAUCCCAUAGUUGUCCACUGUGACAUGUUUGUCUUCAACCCAUUGACACCGAAAUACAGGGAUCUGAAAUGUACCAUAGUCUAGUUCCCAUAUGUCCUCAACGAAGCCAAAGUAAGUUGUUUCCUCACCAGUUUCAGAGUCUAAGGCGUCGCAUCGAACACCACUAUUUUGUGCCAUGCUCUUUUGGUCUUUGGACUUGGUACAGAACGUGAAGCCACUAAUGUCAUAGGUUUGCCAAGUCAUGACCUGGCGUGAUGGCCCAGAUGCCAAGAUCUUGAUGGUGCGAUCCUCAAGUGUUUCCCCAUCUGGAAUGUCCUGCUCCCUUAGCCAUGAGGUAACUGAUUCUUAUGUUCCUUCAUUAUCCAUUCAUCUAUGUGCCCAUGAUUAUGUUUUUGAAGCUCUUCAAUGUGUAGAUUGAUCAAAGGCUCCAUUAUCGAGAGCUGAUGCAGGACGCUGUGAUGUGCUUCGAGGACUAAAUUGUAAUCUUUAGGGACGUAUGAUUUCUUUCCCAUCCUACCUCUUCAUUCAGCCUACCCUCGUGUCGUGACGGAGGCAAACCUAUUGCAACCUAGUCUUUUAGGACCCUAUUGCAUAAUGGACCUCCGGACUUAAUGGCCUCUUCGGUUAAGUACCCCUCUACCAUAGACGCCUCUGGACGAGCACGAGUUGAUACAUAGCCAUUUAGUAUUGACAUGAAGCGUUCAUACGUCCACAUCUCAUGCAAAUACAUGGGACCCAAUGCCUCUAUUUGUGAAACCAAGUGCACCACAAGGUGAACCAUCACAUCGAAGAAUGCUGGGGGAAACACAUCUCAAACUGUGAAACUGUCUCCACUGCGAAUUCCUUAAGAGACGCCAACUCAUCAUGUUCAAUCACCUUCUGUGAGAUCCUGUUGAAGAAGUAGAACAACCGUGUAACUGCAACCUUUAUCCACACUGGGUUUAUAGCCCUAAUGGCAAUAGGGAGAAAAGUAGUCAAUAUGACAUGACAAUCAUGUGAGUUGUAGUUGGUGAGUGUAAGGUCUUUCAUUGACAUAAUACUCCGUAUGCUAGAGCAGAAUCCAGAUGGGACUUUCAAUUUCUUCAACCACACACACAUCUCAUGUUUCUCUUCAUUGUUGAGGUUGUAGCUUGCUGCCGGGAGGUGGUACUUCCCAUUUUCUAGCCUAACAGGGUGAAGUUCUUUUUUUAUGCCUAACUGUUCCAUGUCCAAGCGUGAAUUUAAUCCUUCCUUUGUCUUGCCCUUCAUGUCCAACAAGGUGCCAAUUAUGCUUUCAAACAGGUUCUUCUGAACGUGGAUACCAUCGAUCGCGUGGCGGACGUCUAACUCUGGCCAGUAUUCCAAAUACUCGAAGAAAAUUGACUUCUUCUUGAAUGUAGCCCCUGGAGCUGGCUUGACAUUCUUUCUUGGUUUUCCAUCUUUUGUCUUCUUCCCAAAAACAAAUUUGAGUUUGCUAACUAUGCUGAAAACUCUUUGGCCUUUACUGUUACCUGAUGGGGCAGUAGUCUGUAGUUCACUAUUAUUGUCAAAGUACUUAUCCAUCUUUUUCAGCCGGUACCUGUGUCCUUUUGAUAAGAAGCGUCUGUGCCUCAUGUACACUAUCUUCUUAGAUGCAGUUAGGGACACGUAAGCGGUGUCAUCUAUGCAUACCACACAACCUAACUUUCCCUUGAACUGCCCCGAUAAUGUAAAGAGAGCUGGGUAGUCAUUGAUCGUAACAAAGAUAAUUGCUCUCAGUGUGAAUGAUUCUUUGCGGUACUCGUCGAAUAUUUGAACACAUGUUUCCCAUAGUAUCUUCAUGUCUUGCAUUAAGGGCUCCAAGAAAACAUCCAUAUCAACUCCAGGUUGUGUAGGUCCAGAGAUAAGGAUGGUUAGUAAAAGGUACUUUCGCUUCUGCAUCAACCAUGGAGGGAGGUUGUAGAUGGUGAGGAUCACUGGCCAUGUGCUGUGCUUGCUGCUCCUCUCAGCAAAUGGAUUCAUUCCGUCGGUACUCAGUAUGAACCUAACAUUCCUUAGUUCAUUAGCAAAGUCCUUGUGGUUUUCAUUGAAAUCUUUCCACUGCUGGCCAUCGACUGGGUGCCGAAGCUUCCCAUCGUCAUUGUGCUCAUCAGAAGCAUUCCAGCUCAUAAGUUGGGCAUCCUCUGGGUUAGCAAACAAGCACCUCAAUCGAUCGAUCACAAGAAGGUACCACAUCACCAAAGCAGGAAUCUUUUUCUGUGCAUAAUAGUCUACUUCUUCCUUCUCUUUGCCAGUGGGUUUUGAACUACUCUUCUGGGUCUUUUGUUGGGCCUUCUUUCGUUUUUUGCCCUUAGGCAUAGAGGCAACACACUCUUCCUCUAUGUAGUCUUUAUUUGUCUUGUACCUACUUGCACCACACUUGGGACAGCUGUCCAAGUCUCUAUAAUCAUCGCCUCGAUAUAGGAUACAAUGAUUUCUACAAGCGUGGAUCUUCUCAACACCCAUUGUGAGUGGGCUGAUUAGCUUCUUUGCAUAAUAUGUGUUAGCAGGCACAUUGUUAUCCUUAGGAAGCAUGUUUGCAAUAAUGCUUAAGAACGCAUCAAAGCCAGCAUCAGAAAGACCAUAUCUAGCUUUGCACACCAACAAUUUUAGCACAGACCGCAGCGUCGUGAACUCUUUGGUGCAACCCUUGGACUCGUCAUACAAAGGCUCUUCUGUUGCCUUCAUUAGGGCCUCCAUACCUUUCAUGAAGAACACUGAUGGAUCUUCCGCAUGACGACGCAACAUUGCCUCUAGAAAUUCUACAUCUUCCGCAGCCAUGUUAGUUUCGGUGCCAUCUUCAUUUUCUCCAAUAAAACCAUGAUUAGGAACAUUUGGCACAACAUGUUCAGUGGCUAGACCAUCGGUAUUAGGUUGUUGUGUCUCGUAUACGAACUCAAACCCGUCAACAAUUCCAGUUGUAAAAGGCGCAGAGCUACCCUCUCCAUGCUUUGUCCAAAUCAAGUAAUCUUUCAUAAAUCCUCGACGGACCAAAUGAGUAAGGAUUUGUUGAAUGUCAUCAGAUACAACAAGAUUUCUACAAUCCAUGCAUGGACAAUGUAUGUGCGUCUUUCUUGUUCUUGAAGCAUGGUUUUGAGCAGCAUCAAUAAACCUCUGGACCUCAGUUAUGUAUGAUGGAUCUAGUCUUGAUAAAUUAUACAUCCAAAAUGACCUCUCCAUUACUACUUGUAAAACACCAUUCAUAUGAUCUAAGGGUUUACAAAGGAUUUAUCUAGGGUUUAUUAGCUAGGGUUUAUGGUUAAGCUUGAGAUUAAAGGAAAAAACCUAAGUUACAUAAUUAAAAAAUAAUCUAAGUAUAGCAUAACUAUAUAAAUACAUCAUUAAUUAUAAAUAGAUAGAUGAUGUGGAAGGUGAUAAUAAAAAACCUAACUACCAUAUAAUUAAAAAAAAUCCACAACUAUCUCUCUACAUAAAUAUACAAAGAACACACCAUUGGUUUAAUCUUGUAAAAACUAGCUAAAUUGAGAAGCAAACAUGUUGAGAGACAUUAUCCAACCAUAUUAAGCAACCCCAUCUAACCAUAUCAACAAAUAAAGACAAGAAGCUAGCUAUUCUUCUCUCUCACUCAUAAAACAUACAUACAUGUUGAUAAAUAAAUUGAAAAAUUUAUAAAGAGAAAGACAUAAAUUAGAAAACCUAAGUAUAGCAUAACUAUAUAAAUACAACAUUCAUUAUAAAUAGAUAGAUGAUGUGGAAGGUGACAAUAAAAAACCUAACUAUCAUAUAAUUAAAAAAAAUCAACAAUUAUCUCUCUACAUAAAUAUACAAGAACACACCAUUGGUUUAAUCUUGUAAAAACUAGCUAAAUUGAGAAGCAAACAUGUUGAGAGACAUUAUCCAACCAUAUUAAACAACCCCAUCUAACCAUAUCAACAAAUCAAGACAAAAAGCUAGCUAUUCUUCUCUCUCACUCAUGGUGAAACCCUAGAUCCAAAAAGUGGCUCAAAUUGAGCUAGAAUGAGCAAAUUGAGGCAAUAGGGACAUAAACUAACCUCUUUUAGCAACCUCCUUCCUAGAAAUGAAGAUCAAAACCUCCCCCCUUGUAUUUUGAGAAAUCUGGAACUCCAAAAUCGCCCCCAAUGGAAGGUGGGUGCGAGAUACUGUGUUCUGGUCGGGGAGGAAGAAGGGGUAUUUAUACAGAGAUAACACAGGAGGUUGCUUAAGUCAACCGCCUGUGAUAAUCGUUUCCACAGGCGGCCGAAAAUCUCUGACACCGCCCGAUUUAUACCACAGGCGCAUCGUAACUGGAACCGCCUGUGGUAUAAAAAGGGGGCGCCAGCUAUGAGCCUCUUUCUACUAGUGGCUGCAGCUCCACAUUUUCCCAGAUGAACAUAUAUUGCUUAAAUUAAGUGGACAACUUCUUAAUAGAUACCACAUAGAAAACAACAGACAGGGGAGUCUUCUUUCAAUAAACCUGAUUUUUUCUUAAUCUAGACAGUAUUUAGAUUGCAAGUAUGUACAAAGUACCCAUCUGUAUUUUUAUCUAUGCUAAUCUGGAAGUGCUCAUUUGGUGGCACCAUGUUAGCAUUUCCUCUGUUUUUGUGCACACAAACAUGUACAAGUAUAUCUACACUCAUGUCAUCUACAUUAUUUUCAGACAAAGUUUAUCAGACCCUUAUUAGUCGCACGCAGGGGCGCGCGUUUCCUACUAGUUGGCUAACAAGGAGGUGAGCACUGAGCAUAAUUUGUAUUCAGACUGAAAUUGAUUCCAUAAUGUAAUCAUGUGUCGAGGUUGACGAGCUUCAACCUCAAAUAUAUGCUUAUUGAUCUCCUAGAUGAAAUUGCACACUUGGUAGAUUGAGUGAUAACAUGACCUAUUAUGCCUUGCUAUUCUUGAGUGUUUUUUGGAUUGAACUAUAAAAAAUAUCAUUGUUCGGUUGUUUUCAUGUGCAUUCCUAAGAUAAGCUCGUAGCGUUAUAUAGUAUUAUUAUUUUUGUAGAUAGAUUUGUUUCAUUAACUGUUAUAUGUUGACCAGGGAGCUUGGUUCUGUCCAAUAGAUAUGCAUGAACCUAGAGCUAACUCUAAUCUUUAUAUCUUUGACUAAUUUGGCUACAGAUUGCUUCUUUCAGAGUGGUUAAUAGUGUGGUCUGGAGGAUGUCUCAGUGAAGUGAAAAGCCUCAGUAAUGUUUAAGGGUAGCUACAACUCUUUUUGUUAGCUUGAUGAAUAUUCAAGAUGUUGAAAGGGCUAUGCUAUUUGUCAUUUUGGACAUGUGACUUAGAUGUAGCGUAAUGUAUAUUGC